UGGCAAGAAGGUUUGCUGUGUCUGUCAGCGUAGUGUCCAGAGCAUGGAGGCGCUACCAGGAGACAGGCCAGUACAUCAGGAGACAUGGAGGAGGUCGUAGGAGGGCAACAACCCAGCAGCAGGACUGCUACCUUCACCUUUGUGCAAGGAGGAACAGGAGGAGCACUGCCAGAGCCCUGCAAAAUGACCUCCAGCAGGCCACAAAUGUGC
Pelobates cultripes (western spadefoot toad) is the source of this 210-nucleotide non-coding RNA. The record is from the annotation of a GenBank genome assembly. NCBI's taxonomy places the organism in Eukaryota, Metazoa, Chordata, Amphibia, Anura, Pelobatidae.